GAUUCUGUAGCUCAACUGGUAGAGCACGCCGGUAAUUAAGCCGGUGCUGUUGUUGGUUCGAUUCCAGCCAGAGUCA
This 76-nucleotide transfer RNA is filed under the name Fructobacillus durionis. It matches the Rfam family "tRNA". From Rfam's summary of the family: Transfer RNA (tRNA) molecules are approximately 80 nucleotides in length. Their secondary structure includes four short double-helical elements and three loops (D, anti-codon, and T loops). The record is from Rfam by way of RNAcentral. Lineage: Bacteria; Bacillati; Bacillota; Bacilli; Lactobacillales; Lactobacillaceae.